Molecule: ribosomal RNA, 497 nt
Filed under: uncultured bacterium
Lineage: Bacteria
Description: partial 16S ribosomal RNA
Rfam family: Bacterial small subunit ribosomal RNA
Source: RNAcentral
GAUGAACGCUGGCGGCGUGCCUAAUACAUGCAAGUCGAGCGAACGGACGAUAAGCUUGCUUCUCUGAGGUUAGCGGCGGACGGGUGAGUAACACGUGGAUAACCUACCUAUAAGACUGGGAUAACUUCGGGAAACCGGAGCUAAUACCGGAUGAUAUUUUGAACCGCAUGGUUCAAAAGUGAAAGACGGUCUUGCUGUCACUUAUAGAUGGAUCCGCGCUGCAUUAGCUAGUUGGUAAGGUAACGGCUUACCAAGGCAACGAUGCGUAGCCGACCUGAGAGGGUGAUCGGCCACACUGGAACUGAGACACGGUCCAGACUCCUACGGGAGGCAGCAGUAGGGAAUAUUCCGCAAUGGGCGAAAGCCUGACGGAGCAACGCCGCGUGAGUGAUGAAGGUCUUCGGAUCGUAAAACUCUGUUAUUAGGGAAGAACAUAUGUGUAAGUAACUGUGCACAUCUUGACGGUACCUAAUCAGAAAGCCACGGCUAACUACGUG